RNAcentral lists this ribosomal RNA (372 nucleotides) under uncultured organism. RNAcentral's name for it is "bacterial SSU rRNA". It matches the Rfam family "Bacterial small subunit ribosomal RNA", at positions 526 to 896 of the family's 1533-position model. The record is from RNAcentral.
CGUAGGGUGCGAGCGUUAAUCGGAAUUACUGGGCGUAAAGUGUGCGCAGGCGGCCAUGCAAGUCGAGUGUGAAAGCCCCGGGCUUAACUUGGGAAUUGCGCUCGAAACUACGUGGCUGGAGUGUGGCAGAGGAAGGUGGAAUUCCACGUGUAGCGGUGAAAUGCGUAGAGAUGUGGAGGAACACCAAUGGCGAAGGCAGCCUUCUGGGCCAACACUGACGCUCAUGCACGAAAGCGUGGGGAGCAAACAGGAUUAGAUACCCUGGUAGUCCACGCCCUAAACGAUGACGACUAGUUGUUGGAGGAGUUAAAUCCUUUAGUAACGCAGCUAACGCGCGAAGUCGUCCGCCUGGGGAGUACGGUCGCAAGAUUA